AGGUCCAAGUCGUUGUCCUCCUCGUCCAUGGAAGGACGGCACCUGCUGCAUCCAAACUAAACAAAUAAAUAAGCAAGGAUUAACAAACAGAGCAAGCAAGAAUUCAACUUAUAAUGCUAUGUAUUUCCCUGCUGCGUAUACAUAUCAAUUGUGUCAUGAUGGGGGGUUCAGAAUGUACACAACAUAUUUAUGUCAAAUGGUUGAUUAUUUAGAGAAGUUAAACUAAGUGCAGGUCACCCAAAACUGUAUUUCUUGCAAUCCAAACAAUACAAACAACAUGGAGAUGGUUGCAUAGAUACAAAUCCAUGUAGCAGCAAAAUUGACCAAUCUGGAGCUCAUCUUCUGUCUCUCUCUCUGUGUGUGUGUGUGUGUGUGUGUGUGUUUGGUACUAAAUAAAUAAAUAAAUAAACUGGACUUGUUCAUACAAAUCCUUCUUGAAUUCCUUGACACGACCAGGAUUUGCAUCAACUAUUCCUCAACUUAGCAGCAGUAGCGAGCAGAGGAAGAUGAGAGGGAGAUGGAGAUGCUACCUGUCGUGGUGGGUCGGCAUGGACGUGCUUGAGCUCGGGGCAGGACCUCUUGGUCACCCUAGGAGAAGAGGAGCAAACCCCUCCUGCCCCUCCUGCUCGAGCAGAGCACAGCACAAGAACCCACCUCCUGCAUCUGAGGUUGGUUCUCCAAAACCCAUCUCCUGCAGCAAGAUCCAUGGGUGUCCUGCAGCACAACAGAACAUGAAGAAUAGAGCAACAUACACUGUGGUCAGUGUUCAUCCAUGGCUGCAAGAUCGGAUCAAAUCAAACAGAGAAGGGAAAGGGAAGGGCUACCUUGAGGAUCAAAUCUAAUCAGCACCGCUGCCUUGAGCUGCUACUGCUGCUGAGCGUCAUCGUCCACCCCUGCAUGGCUACAUCUGCUGUGGUCGCUGCUGCUGCUUGUCCUUGGGCUGAAUGGAAG
RNAcentral lists this long non-coding RNA (951 nucleotides) under Triticum aestivum (bread wheat). Its description in RNAcentral is "long non-coding RNA (TAES_LNC002285)". The record is from RNAcentral. Lineage: Eukaryota; Viridiplantae; Streptophyta; Magnoliopsida; Poales; Poaceae.